CUACGGGGGGCAGCAGUGGGGAAUAUUGCGCAAUGGGCGAAAGCCUGACGCAGCAACGCCGUGUGGGGGAUGAAGGUCUUCGGAUUGUAAACCUCUGUCAGGAGGGAAGAAGUGGUAAUAUUCUAAUAGGGUAUUACUUUGACGGUACCUCCAGAGGAAGCACCGGCUAACUCCGUGCCAGCAGCCGCGGUAAUACGGAGGGUGCAAGCGUUAUUCGGAAUAACUGGGCGUAAAGCGUGCGUAGGCUGUUUGGUAAGUCAGGUGUGAAAGCCCACGGCUCAACCGUGGAAUUGCAUUUGAAACGGCUGGACUAGAAUCCGGGAGAGGGUAGCGGAAUUCCUGGUGUAGGAGUGAAAUCCGUAGAUAUCAGGAGGAACACCGGUGGCGAAGGCGGCUACCUGGUCCGGUAUUGACGCUGAGGUACGAAAGCGUGGGUAGCAAACAGGAUUAGAUACCCGAGUAGUC
Molecule: ribosomal RNA, 465 nt
Filed under: uncultured bacterium
Lineage: Bacteria
Description: partial 16S ribosomal RNA
Rfam family: Bacterial small subunit ribosomal RNA
Source: RNAcentral